AUCAAUAAGCGGAGGAAAAGAAACUAACAAGGAUUCCCCUAGUAACUGCGAGUGAAGAGGGAAGAGCUCAAAUUUGUAAUCUGGCAGUCACAUGGCUGUCCGAGUUGUAAGUUAGAGAAGUGUCAUCCGUGCUGGCCUGCACAAAAGUCCCUUGGAAAAGGGCAUCAUAGAGGGUGACAAUCCCGUCUUUGGUGCAGACCACCAGUGCAUUUGUGAUGUGCUCUCAAUGAGUCGAGUUGUUUGGGAAUGCAGCUCCAAAUGGGUGGUAAAUUCCAUCUAAAGCUAAAUAUGGGCGAGAAACCGAUAGCGCACAAGUACCGUGAGGGAAAGAUGAAAAGGACUUUGAAAAGAGAGUUAAACAGUACGUGAAAUUGUUGAAAGGGAAACGCUUGAAGUCAGUCAUAUCCUUCAGAAAUCAACCCACCCAUUGGGUCAGGUGCAUUUUCUGUUGGAUGGGUCAGCAUCAAUUUUGACCAUUGGAUAAAGGGCUUGGGAAUGUGGCAUCUUCGGAUGUGUUAUAGACCAUGUCUGCAUACAAUGGUUGGGAUUGAGGAACUCAGUGUGACCUUUAGGUUUGGGGGUUUAACCCCACACUACACACUUAGGAUGCUGGCAUAAUGGCUUUAAUCGACCCGUCUUGAAACACGGACCAAGGAGUCUAACAUGCAUGCAAGUGUUUGGGUGGAAAACCCAAGCGCGUAAUGAAAGUGAAAGUUGAGAACCCUGUUAUGGGGUGCAUCGACGCCCGGCCCUGACCUUCUGUGACGGACCUGCGGUAGAGCAUGUAUGUUGGGACCCGAAAGAUGGUGAACUAUGCCUGAAUAGGGUGAAGCCAGAGGAAACUCUGGUGGAAGCUCGUAGCGAUUCUGACGUGCAAAUCGAUCGUCGAAUUUGGGUAUAGGGGCGAAAG
RNAcentral lists this ribosomal RNA (910 nucleotides) under Clavaria pullei. RNAcentral's name for it is "partial large subunit ribosomal RNA". It matches the Rfam family "Eukaryotic large subunit ribosomal RNA", at positions 42 to 929 of the family's 3401-position model. Lineage: Eukaryota; Fungi; Basidiomycota; Agaricomycetes; Agaricales; Clavariaceae. The record is from RNAcentral.